AGAGUUUGAUUAUGACUCAGGAUAAACGCUGGCGGCGCACAUAAGACAUGCAAGUCGAACGGACUUAACUCAUUCUUUAGAUUGAGAGCGGUUAGUGGCGGACUGGUGAGUAACGCGUGAGCAACCUACCUAUUAGAGGGGAAUAACAGUGAGAAAUCAUUGCUAAUACCGCAUAAGCUGAUAGAAUCGCAUGAUUUAGUCAGAAAAGGAGCAAUCCGCUAAUAGAUGGGCUCGCGUCUGAUUAGCUAGUUGGUGGGGUAACGGCCUACCAAGGCGACGAUCAGUAGCCGGACUGAGAGGUUGAACGGCCACAUUGGGACUGAGAUACGGCCCAGACUCCUACGGGAGGCAGCAGUCGGGAAUAUUGCGCAACGGAGGAAACUCUGACGCAGUGACGCCGCGUAUAGGAAGAAGGUUUUCGGAUUGUAAACUAUUGUCGUUAGGGAAGAAGAAGUGACAGUACCUAAGGAGGAAGCUCCGGCUAACUAUGUGCCAGCCGCCGC
This 503-nucleotide ribosomal RNA is filed under the name uncultured bacterium. Its description in RNAcentral is "bacterial SSU rRNA". It matches the Rfam family "Bacterial small subunit ribosomal RNA", at positions 8 to 518 of the family's 1533-position model. The record is from RNAcentral.